GAUGAACGCUGGCGGCGUGCUUAACACAUGCAAGUCGAACGGAAAGGCCUCUGCUUGCAGGGGUACUCGAGUGGCGAACGGGUGAGUAACACGUGGGUGAUCUGCCCUGCACUUCGGGAUAAGCCUGGGAAACUGGGUCUAAUACCGGAUAGGACAAUGGUUUGGAUGCUGUUGUGGAAAGUUUUUCGGUGUGGGAUGAGCUCGCGGCCUAUCAGCUUGUUGGUGGGGUAAUGGCCUACCAAGGCGUCGACGGGUAGCCGGCCUGAGAGGGUGUACGGCCACAUUGGGACUGAGAUACGGCCCAGACUCCUACGGGAGGCAGCAGUGGGGAAUAUUGCACAAUGGGCGCAAGCCUGAUGCAGCGACGCCGCGUGGGGGAUGACGGCCUUCGGGUUGUAAACUCCUGUCGCUAGGGACGAAGCGUUUUUGUGACGGUACCUGGAGAAGAAGCACCGGCUAACUACGUG
RNAcentral lists this ribosomal RNA (467 nucleotides) under uncultured bacterium. Its description in RNAcentral is "partial 16S ribosomal RNA". It matches the Rfam family "Bacterial small subunit ribosomal RNA", at positions 28 to 507 of the family's 1533-position model. The record is from RNAcentral.